RNAcentral lists this ribosomal RNA (580 nucleotides) under uncultured bacterium. Its description in RNAcentral is "bacterial SSU rRNA". It matches the Rfam family "Bacterial small subunit ribosomal RNA", at positions 102 to 676 of the family's 1533-position model. The record is from RNAcentral.
ACGGGUGAGUAAAGCGUAGGAAUCUGCCUAAUAGACUGGGACAACUUGGGGAAACUCGAGCUAAUACCGGAUAAUCUCUAAGGAGGAAAGUAUGGGACUUGAAAGAGCCAUACGCUAAUAGAUGAGCCUAUGUCGGAUUAGCUAGUUGGUGGGGUAAAGGCCUACCAAGGCGAUGAUCUGUAGCUGGUCUGAGAGGAUGGACAGCCACACUGGGACUGAGACACGGCCCAGACUCCUACGGGAGGCAGCAGUGGGGAAUAUUGGACAAUGGGGGCAACCCUGAUCCAGCGAUGCCGCGUGUGCGAAGAAGGCCUGCGGGUUGUAAAGCACUUUGGUUGGGGAAGAAGGCUGGGGGUUGAAUAGAUCUCCAGAUUGACGUUACCCAAAGAACAAGCACCGGCUAACUCUGUGCCAGCAGCCGCGGUAAUACAGAGGGUGCGAGCGUUAAUCGGAAUUACUGGGCGUAAAGGGUGCGUAGGCGGUUGAAUAAGUUAGAUGUGAAAUCCCCGGGCUUAACCUGGGAAUUGCAUUUAAGACUGUACAGCUAGAGUAGAGUAGAGGGAAGUGGAAUUUCCGGUGU